GGCUCAGAUUGAACGCUGGCGGAUCUUCCCCACAUACAAGUCGAACGGCAGCACGGUUUCGGUCUGCAGGUGGCGAGUGGCGAACGGGUGAGUAAUGUAUCGGAACGUGCCUAGUAGCGGGGGAUAACUACGCCAGCGUAGCUAAUACCGCAUACGCCCUUCAGGAGAAGCACAGGGGGGACCUUCGGGCCUCACUAUGAAACAGCCGAUAUCAGGUUAGCUAGUUGGUGGGGUAACGGCUCACCGGGGCGUGAUCGUAGCUGGUUUGAGAGGACGACCAGCAGCCACUGGGACUGAGACACAGCCCAGACUCUACGGGAGGCAGUGGAGGAAUUUUGGACAAUGGGGAAACCCUGAUCCAGCUUCAUCGCGUGUGCGAUAAGAAGGCCUUCAGGUUGUAAAAGCGCACUUUGGCAGAAGAAACUGGCCUGGGAUAAUGCCCGUGCAACUGACGGCUGCAGAAUAGCACCGGCUAACUACGUGCCAGCAACCAUGGUAAUACGUAAAGGUCACAAGCGUUAAUCGGAAUUACUGGGCGUAAAGCGUGCCAGACGGUUCGGAAAGAAGAUGCUUAAAUCCCAGAGCUUAACUUUGGAACUGCAUUUUUAACUACCGAGCUAGAGUGUCAGAGGGAGGUGGAAUUCACGUGUAACGGUGAAGCGUAGAUAUGCGGAGGAACACCGAUCAUGAAGGCAGCCUCUGGGAUAACACUGACGCUCAUGCACGAAAGCGUGAGGCGACAAGUUAGAUACCUGGUAGUCCACGCCUAAACGAUGUCAACUAGCUGUUGGGGCCUUCGGGCCUUGUUGGCGCAAUAACGCGUGAAGUUGACCGCCUGGGGAAGUACGGUCGCAAGAUUCAAAAACUCCGGAGAAUUGACGGACCCGCACAAGCGGUGGAUGAUGUGGAUUAAUUCGAUGCAACGCGAAAAACCUUACCUACCGCCGGCAUGUCUGGAAUCCCGAAGAGAUUUGGGAGUGCUCGCAAGAGAACCGGAACACAGGUGCUGCAUGGCUGUCGUCAGCUCGUGUCGUGAGAUGUUGGGUUAAGUCCACCAGCAAGCCGCAACCCUUGUCGGCUUAGUUGCUACGAAAGGGCACUCUAAUGCGAGACUGCCGGUGACAAACCGGAGGAAGAGGUGGGGAUGACGUCAAGUCUCUGGCCCUUAUGGGUAGGGCUUCACACAUCAUACAAUGGUCGGGACCAGAGGUCGCCAACCCACGAGAGACCCAAUCCAGAGGCAGUGUGAGUGGAUCCUGCAGUCUGCAACUCAAGCUGCGUGAAGUCAGGAGAAUCGCUAGUAAUCGCGGAUCAGCAUGUCGCGGUGAAUACGUUCGGGUCUUGUACACACCGCCCGUCACACCAUGGGAGUGGGUUUGCAAGUAGUUAAGCCUAACCACGGGCGAUUACGGUAGGAUUCAUGACUGGGGCCGAAGUCGUAGCUGAGUAA
Molecule: ribosomal RNA, 1450 nt
Filed under: uncultured Bordetella sp.
Lineage: Bacteria; Pseudomonadati; Pseudomonadota; Betaproteobacteria; Burkholderiales; Alcaligenaceae
Description: partial 16S-23S ribosomal RNA intergenic spacer
Rfam family: Bacterial small subunit ribosomal RNA
Source: RNAcentral